AUAAAUCCUUGGAAAAAAAAAAUGAGUUAAUUGUAUACAUAUUCCUACAAACAUGGUGAAUUGCAGAUAUAUUCCUGCAAAGCUCAACUGUCAUAAGUUAUCUCUGCAAAAGUUCUAAUGUAUUCAGAUAUGUCCCUAUCGUUAGGGUCCGUUAGAGAAAUUUUAUUAACCACAGUUAAAAUACUUAACCAUGAUUAAUUAAUAAUAUGAAUUGACAAUUUUGCUCUUCUUCUUCUUCCUCUUCCUCUUCCUCUUCCUCUUCCUCUCGUGCUUCUCCUUCUUCCUCUUCUCCAUAACCUAAAUAACUAAAGAUAUU
RNAcentral lists this long non-coding RNA (316 nucleotides) under Ananas comosus (pineapple). RNAcentral describes it as "long non-coding RNA (ACOM_LNC009405)". The record is from RNAcentral. Lineage: Eukaryota; Viridiplantae; Streptophyta; Magnoliopsida; Poales; Bromeliaceae.